RNAcentral lists this ribosomal RNA (166 nucleotides) under Camellia formosensis. RNAcentral describes it as "Camellia sinensis f. formosensis 5.8S ribosomal RNA". It matches the Rfam family "5.8S ribosomal RNA". From Rfam's summary of the family: 5.8S ribosomal RNA (5.8S rRNA) is a component of the large subunit of the eukaryotic ribosome. It is transcribed by RNA polymerase I as part of the 45S precursor that also contains 18S and 28S rRNA. Lineage: Eukaryota; Viridiplantae; Streptophyta; Magnoliopsida; Ericales; Theaceae. The record is from RNAcentral.
UAAACGACUCUCGGCAACGGAUAUCUCGGCUCUCGCAUCGAUGAAGAACGUAGCGAAAUGCGAUACUUGGUGUGAAUUGCAGAAUCCCGCGAACCAUCGAGUCUUUGAACGCAAGUUGCGCCCGAAGCCAUUAGGUUGAGGGCACGCCUGCCUGGGCGUCUCACGU